UAGGGAAUCUUCGGCAAUGGGGGGAACCCUGACCGAGCAACGCCGCGUGAGUGAAGAAGGUUUUCGGAUCGUAAAGCUCUGUUGUUAAGGAAGAACGAGUGUGAGAAUGGAAAGUUCAUACUGUGACGGUACUUAACCAGAAAGGGACGGCUAACUACGUGCCAGCAGCCGCGGUAAUACGUAGGUCCCGAGCGUUGUCCGGAUUUAUUGGGCGUAAAGCGAGCGCAGGCGGUUAGAUAAGUCUGAAGUUAAAGGCAGUGGCUUAACCAUUGUAGGCUUUGGAAACUGUUUAACUUGAGUGCAGAAGGGGAGAGUGGAAUUCCAUGUGUAGCGGUGAAAUGCGUAGAUAUAUGGAGGAACACCGGUGGCGAAAGCGGCUCUCUGGUCUGUAACUGACGCUGAGGCUCGAAAGCGUGGGGAGCGAACAGG
This 429-nucleotide ribosomal RNA is filed under the name Bacteroidota bacterium. Its description in RNAcentral is "Bacteroidetes bacterium partial 16S ribosomal RNA". It matches the Rfam family "Bacterial small subunit ribosomal RNA", at positions 355 to 776 of the family's 1533-position model. The record is from RNAcentral. Lineage: Bacteria; Pseudomonadati; Bacteroidota.